GACGAACGCUGGCGGCGUGCUUAACACAUGCAAGUCGAACGGAAAGGCCCUGCUUGCAGGGUACUCGAGUGGCGAACGGGUGAGUAACACGUUGGUGAUCUGCCCUUCACUUCUUGUUAAGCCUUGGAAACUGGGUCUAAUUCCUGAUAGGAGCCAUUUUUAUUGUUAUUGUUGGAAAGUUUUUUCGGUGUUGGAUGAGCUGGCGGCCUAUCCGCUUGUUGGUGGGGUAAUGGCCUACCAAGGCGGCUACGGGUAGCCGGCCUGAGAGGGUGGACGGCCAAAUUGGGACUGAGAGACGGCACAGAAGCCUACGGGGGGCAGAAGUGGGGAAUAUUGCAAAAUGGGAGGAAGCCUGAUGCAGAGAAGCCGCGUGGGGGAUGACGGCCUUCGGGUUGAAAAAUAAUUUCGCUAGGGAAGAAGCUUUUUGUGACGGUACCUAGAGAAGAAGCACCGGCUAACUACGUG
RNAcentral lists this ribosomal RNA (465 nucleotides) under uncultured bacterium. RNAcentral describes it as "partial 16S ribosomal RNA". It matches the Rfam family "Bacterial small subunit ribosomal RNA", at positions 28 to 507 of the family's 1533-position model. The record is from RNAcentral.